UACGUAGGUGGCAAGCGUUAUCCGGAUUUACUGGGCGUAAAGGGAACGCAGGCGGCCUUUUAAGUCUGAUGUGAAAGCCUUCGGCUUAACCGGAGUAGUGCAUUGGAAACUGGGAGACUUGAGUGCAGAAGAGGAGAGUGGAACUCCAUGUGUAGCGGUGAAAUGCGUAGAUAUAUGGAAGAACACCAGUGGCGAAAGCGGCUCUCUGGUCUGUAACUGACGCUGAGGUUCGAAAGCGUGGGUAGCAAACAGG
RNAcentral lists this ribosomal RNA (253 nucleotides) under uncultured bacterium. Its description in RNAcentral is "partial 16S ribosomal RNA". It matches the Rfam family "Bacterial small subunit ribosomal RNA", at positions 524 to 776 of the family's 1533-position model. The record is from RNAcentral.